RNAcentral lists this small RNA (483 nucleotides) under Pongo abelii (Sumatran orangutan). RNAcentral's name for it is "processed transcript". The record is from RNAcentral. Lineage: Eukaryota; Metazoa; Chordata; Mammalia; Primates; Hominidae.
GUCGACGCCCCCCAGCCCCUCAUUUCCACGAAGCUCCUCGGCGGUUCUGCCCUCCUUGUACCCGCGGCGCGGACCCGCCCCCGCCUAGCCCCGUCGGCCUCCUUCCCUUCCCGGAGCCGCGCGUGAGGACGGCUGAGGCCGCAGGAGUGAUUGGGAGAACAAUGCAUGUAAGUCUGCAAUCAUGAUGUCCAUCCGGCAAAGAAGAGAAAUAAGAGCCACAGAAGUUUCUGAAGACUUUCCAGCCCAAGAAGAAAAUGUGAAGUUGGAAAAUAAAUUGCCAUCUGGUUGUACCAGUAGAAGAUUAUGGAAGAUUUUGUCAUUGACAAUUGGUGGAACCAUUGCCCUUUGCAUUGGACUUCUUACAUCUGUCUACCUUGCCACGUUACAUGAAAAUGAUUUAUGGUUUUCUAAUAUUAAGAGUCUCACUCCGUCACCCAGGCUGGAGUGCAGUGCCGGGAUCUCAGCUGACUGCAACUUCUACCU